Molecule: ribosomal RNA, 427 nt
Filed under: uncultured bacterium
Lineage: Bacteria
Description: partial 16S ribosomal RNA
Rfam family: Bacterial small subunit ribosomal RNA
Source: RNAcentral
GUGGGGAAUAUUGGGCAAUGGGGGAAACCCUGACCCAGCAACGCCGCGUGAAGGAAGAAGGCUUUCGGGUUGUAAACUUCUUUUAUGAGGGACGAAGAAGUGACGGUACCUCAUGAAUAAGCCACGGCUAACUACGUGCCAGCAGCCGCGGUAAUACGUAGGUGGCAAGCGUUGUCCGGAUUUACUGGGUGUAAAGGGCGCGUAGGCGGGAUAGCAAGUCAGGUGUGAAAUCCGGGGGCUUAACCCUCGAACUGCACUUGAAACUGUUAUUCUUGAGUGAUGGAGAGGCAAGCGGAAUUCCUAGUGUAGCGGUGAAAUGCGUAGAUAUUAGGAGGAACACCAGUGGCGAAGGCGGCCUGCUGGACAUUAACUGACGCUGAGGCGCGAAAGCGUGGGGAGCAAACAGGAUUAGAAACCCGAGUAGUCC